GACGAACCGUGCGAACGUUAUUCGGAAUCACUGGGCUUAAAGCGCGUGUAGGCGGGACGGCACGUCGGUCGCUGAAAGCCCCCGGCUCAACCGGGGAACGGGCGCCGAUGCGACCGCCCUGGAGGAACGUAGGGGGACCUGGAACUUCCGGUGGAGCGGUGAAAUGCGUUGAGAUCGGAAGGAACGCCCGUGGCGAAAGCGAGGUCCUGGACGUUUUCUGACGCUGAGACGCGAAAGCCAGGGGAGCGAACGGG
Molecule: ribosomal RNA, 254 nt
Filed under: uncultured bacterium
Lineage: Bacteria
Description: partial 16S ribosomal RNA
Rfam family: Bacterial small subunit ribosomal RNA
Source: RNAcentral